GGUCCGUCCUUCGUCUCUCGCUCUCUCUCCUCUCUCUCUCUUCUCUCUCUCCUCCUCUCUCUCUUCUCUCUCUCCUCCUCUCUCUCUCUCUCUGCCUCUCCCUGCUCUUUGUCUCUCUCUUAUCUCUCCCCUCUGUCUCCCUCUGUCCUCGGUGUCUCUCUCGCAUCCUCCUCUGUCUCCGCCCCACCUCACGGCACACGUACUCACACCUGCCCCAGACCUUUCCCUCUCCUGAGCUCCCUUUGUCUUGGUCCCUCUCCCGUUGCCUGGUAACAGCCCUCCCCUUCACCAGCUCCGCGGAAACCAUAGCAACGGGCAGCCGGAAGAUGCGGCCAUUCCUCUCCCUUUUGUCCAUUGCAUUUCAGCAGCGCCCGCGCACGUGGACGCUCCAAUUACAGUCUGCCAGGAAUAGAGCAUGCCUCUUCAGCCGGGACCCCAGGAUGGACACAGAGCAGAUCUAAAC
This 463-nucleotide long non-coding RNA is filed under the name Pan paniscus (pygmy chimpanzee). RNAcentral's name for it is "lncRNA (ENSPPAG00000045315.1)". Lineage: Eukaryota; Metazoa; Chordata; Mammalia; Primates; Hominidae. The record is from RNAcentral.